GACGAACGCUGGCGGCGUGCUUAACACAUGCAAGUCGAACGGAAAGGCCCUGCUUUUGUGGGGUGCUCGAGUGGCGAACGGGUGAGUAACACGUGAGUAACCUGCCCUUGACUUUGGGAUAACUUCAGGAAACUGGGGCUAAUACCGGAUAGGAGCUCCUGCUGCAUGGUGGGGGUUGGAAGGUUUCGGCGGUUGGGGAUGGACUCGCGGCUUAUCAGCUUGUUGGUGGGGUAGUGGCUUACCAAGGCUUUGACGGGUAGCCGGCCUGAGAGGGUGACCGGCCACAUUGGGACUGAGAUACGGCCCAGUCUCCUACGGGAGGCAGCAGUGGGGAAUAUUGCACAAUGGGCGGAAGCCUGAUGCAGCAACGCCGCGUGCGGGAUGACGGCCUUCGGGUUGUAAACCGCUUUCGCCUGUGACGAAGCGUGAGUGACGGUAAUGGGUAAAGAAGCACCGGCUAACUACGUG
This 468-nucleotide ribosomal RNA is filed under the name uncultured bacterium. Its description in RNAcentral is "partial 16S ribosomal RNA". It matches the Rfam family "Bacterial small subunit ribosomal RNA", at positions 28 to 507 of the family's 1533-position model. The record is from RNAcentral.